Molecule: long non-coding RNA, 588 nt
Filed under: Apteryx rowi (Okarito brown kiwi)
Lineage: Eukaryota; Metazoa; Chordata; Aves; Apterygiformes; Apterygidae
Description: lncRNA (ENSARWG00000001771.1)
Source: RNAcentral
GGUAUGAGAAAUCUCUUUAGGGUUGAGCUGYGCUCCUUGCACGAUCUGUCUGAUCUGUUCAGUGGAACCAUAUGGAUUCUGCUACUAUCAGGGACCUCAGGAAGAGACUUUUUUUUAUGUGAUGAAGAACGAUACAGAUACAGAGACUAUGCAGAAAGAGGCUAUGACCGCCAUAGAACAAGCAGAGAGAAAGAAGACCGACACAGAGAAAGGAGACACAGAGAGAAGGAAGACACUAGGCACAAGUCAUCUCGAAGUAACAGCAGGCGCCGUCACGACAGUGAAGAAGGGGACAGCCACAGAAGGCACAAACACAAAAAAUCCAAAAGAAGCAAAGAAGGAAAAGAAGCCAGUGGUGAACCUGCUCCGGAACAGGAAAACACUGAAGCUGCCCCUGCAGAAUAGGCUUGCGUGAUUUUUGCCUACUUGCGUAUAUAUUAGUGCCAGAAAUAGAUUACUAUAAAUCCUGUUAUUUUUCUGGAUAUUAAAAUAAUUUGCUCUUAAUCUUGUUCUGUUAGUAUGAAAUCGAAGGUUACUUUGGUUUUUUUUGGAAAUAAAAGAAUGAAUUUUUCAUGUUAAGAUUCCUGG